GGGUUGUGAGGUUAAGUGACUAAGCGUACACGGUGGAUGCCCUGGCAGUCAGAGGCGAUGAAGGACGUGCUAAUCUGCGAAAAGCGUCGGUAAGGUGAUAUGAACCGUUAUAACCGGCGAUGUCCGAAUGGGGAAACCCAGUGCAAUUCGUUGCACUAUCGUUAACUGAAUACAUAGGUUAACGAGGCGAACCGGGGGAACUGAAACAUCUAAGUACCCCGAGGAAAAGAAAUCAACCGAGAUUCCCCCAGUAGCGGCGAGCGAACGGGGAGCAGCCCAGAGUCUGAAUCAGCUUGUGUGUUAGUGGAACGGUCUGGAAAGUCCGACGGUACAGGGUGAUAGUCCCGUACACCAAAAUGCACAGGCUGUGAACUCGAAGAGUAGGGCGGGACACGUGGUAUCCUGUCUGAAUAUGGGGGGACCAUCCUCCAAGGCUAAAUACUCCUGACUGACCGAUAGUGAACCAGUACCGUGAGGGAAAGGCGAAAAGAACCCCGGCGAGGGGAGUGAAAAAGAACCUGAAACCGUGUACGUACAAGCAGUGGGAGCACCUUUAUGGUGUGACUGCGUACCUUUUGUAUAAUGGGUCAGCGACUUAUAUUCUGUAGCAAGGUUAACCGUAUAGGGGAGCCGCAGGGAAACCGAGUCUUAACUGGGCGUUAAGUUGCAGGGUAUAGACCCGAAACCCGGUGAUCUAGCCAUGGGCAGGUUGAAGGUUGGGUAACACUAACUGGAGGACCGAACCGACUAAUGUUGAAAAAUUAGCGGAUGACUUGUGGCUGGGGGUGAAAGGCCAAUCAAACCGGGAGAUAGCUGGUUCUCCCCGAAAGCUAUUUAGGUAGCGCCUCGUGAACUCAUCUUCGGGGGUAGAGCACUGUUUCGGCUAGGGGGUCAUCCCGACUUACCAACCCGAUGCAAACUACGAAUACCGAAGAAUGUUAUCACGGGAGACACACGGCGGGUGCUAACGUCCGUCGUGAAGAGGGAAACAACCCAGACCGCCAGCUAAGGUCCCAAAGUCAUGGUUAAGUGGGAAACGAUGUGGGAAGGCACAGACAGCCAGGAUGUUGGCUUAGAAGCAGCCAUCAUUUAAAGAAAGCGUAAUAGCUCACUGGUCGAGUCGGCCUGCGCGGAAGAUGUAACGGGGCUAAACCAUGCACCGAAGCUGCGGCAGCGACACUAUGUGUUGUUGGGUAGGGGAGCGUUCUGUAAGCCUGCGAAGGUGUGCUGUGAGGCAUGCUGGAGGUAUCAGAAGUGCGAAUGCUGACAUAAGUAACGAUAAAGCGGGUGAAAAGCCCGCUCGCCGGAAGACCAAGGGUUCCUGUCCAACGUUAAUCGGGGCAGGGUGAGUCGACCCCUAAGGCGAGGCCGAAAGGCGUAGUCGAUGGGAAACAGGUUAAUAUUCCUGUACUUGGUGUUACUGCGAAGGGGGGACGGAGAAGGCUAUGUUAGCCGGGCGACGGUUGUCCCGGUUUAAGCAUGUAGGCUGGUUGUCCAGGCAAAUCCGGAUAAUCAAGGCUGAGGUGUGAUGACGAGGCACUACGGUGCUGAAGUAACAAAUGCCCUGCUUCCAGGAAAAGCCUCUAAGCAUCAGGUAACAUCAAAUCGUACCCCAAACCGACACAGGUGGUCAGGUAGAGAAUACCAAGGCGCUUGAGAGAACUCGGGUGAAGGAACUAGGCAAAAUGGUGCCGUAACUUCGGGAGAAGGCACGCUGGUGUGUAGGUGAAGUCCCUGCGGAUGGAGCUGAGACCAGUCGAAGAUACCAGCUGGCUGCAACUGUUUAUUAAAAACACAGCACUGUGCAAACACGAAAGUGGACGUAUACGGUGUGACGCCUGCCCGGUGCCGGAAGGUUAAUUGAUGGGGUUAUCCGUAAGGAGAAGCUCUUGAUCGAAGCCCCGGUAAACGGCGGCCGUAACUAUAACGGUCCUAAGGUAGCGAAAUUCCUUGUCGGGUAAGUUCCGACCUGCACGAAUGGCGUAAUGAUGGCCAGGCUGUCUCCACCCGAGACUCAGUGAAAUUGAACUCGCUGUGAAGAUGCAGUGUACCCGCGGCAAGACGGAAAGACCCCGUGAACCUUUACUAUAGCUUGACACUGAACAUUGAGCCUUGAUGUGUAGGAUAGGUGGGAGGCUUUGAAGCGUGGACGCCAGUCUGCGUGGAGCCAACCUUGAAAUACCACCCUUUAAUGUUUGAUGUUCUAACGUUGGCCCCUUACCGGGGUUGCGGACAGUGUCUGGUGGGUAGUUUGACUGGGGCGGUCUCCUCCCAAAGCGUAACGGAGGAGCACGAAGGUUAGCUAAUCCUGGUCGGACAUCAGGAGGUUAGUGCAAUGGCAUAAGCUAGCUUGACUGCGAGCGUGACGGCGCGAGCAGGUGCGAAAGCAGGUCAUAGUGAUCCGGUGGUUCUGAAUGGAAGGGCCAUCGCUCAACGGAUAAAAGGUACUCCGGGGAUAACAGGCUGAUACCGCCCAAGAGUUCAUAUCGACGGCGGUGUUUGGCACCUCGAUGUCGGCUCAUCACAUCCUGGGGCUGAAGUAGGUCCCAAGGGUAUGGCUGUUCGCCAUUUAAAGUGGUACGCGAGCUGGGUUUAGAACGUCGUGAGACAGUUCGGUCCCUAUCUGCCGUGGGCGCUGGAGAAUUGAGGGGGGCUGCUCCUAGUACGAGAGGACCGGAGUGGACGCAUCACUGGUGUUCGGGUUGUCAUGCCAAUGGCACUGCCCGGUAGCUAAAUGCGGAAGAGAUAAGUGCUGAAAGCAUCUAAGCACGAAACUUGCCCCGAGAUGAGUUCUCCCUGAGACUUUAAGUCUCCUGAAGGAACGUUAAAGACGAUGACGUUGAUAGGCCGGGUGUGUAAGCGCAGCGAUGCGUUGAGCUAACCGGUACUAAUGAACCGUGAGGCUUAACCUUACAACGCCGAAG
This 2924-nucleotide ribosomal RNA is filed under the name Klebsiella pneumoniae. RNAcentral describes it as "bacterial LSU rRNA". It matches the Rfam family "Bacterial large subunit ribosomal RNA". The record is from RNAcentral. Lineage: Bacteria; Pseudomonadati; Pseudomonadota; Gammaproteobacteria; Enterobacterales; Enterobacteriaceae.